AGAAACCAACAGGGAUUGCCCUAGUAACGGCGAGUGAAGCGGCAACAGCUCAAAUUUGAAAUCUGGCGCAAGCCCGAGUUGUAAUUUGUAGAGGAUGCUUCUGGGCAGCGGCUAGUCUAAGUCCUUUGGAACAGGGCGUCACAGAGGGUGAGAAUCCCGUAUGUGAUUAGCAUGCACCCGUCACGUAGCUCCUUCGACGAGUCGAGUUGUUUGGGAAUGCAGCUCUAAAUGGGAGGUAAAUUCCUUCUAAAGCUAAAUACCGGCCAGAGACCGAUAGCGCACAAGUAGAGUGAUCGAAAGAUGAAAAGCACUUUGAAAAGAGAGUUAAAAAGCACGUGAAAUUGUUGAAAGGGAAGCGCAUACAACCAGACUUGUCGGCGGUGUUCCGCCGGUCUUCUGACCGGUCUACUCGCCGCCGGCAGGCCAGCAUCGUUUGGGCGCGCCAGAUAAAGGUUUGGGGCGGCGGUUCGCCGUUGCCCCUUACACAAUAACGGCGCCGCCCGAGCGAGGUCCGCGCUUCGGCAAGGAUGCUGGCGUAAUGGUUGCCUGCGGCCCGUCUUGAAACACGGACCAAGGAGUCUAACAUCUAUGCGAGUGUUCGGGUGUCAAACCCCUACGCGUAAUGAAAGUGAACGGAGGUGGGAACGCAAGUGCACCAUCGACCGAUCCUGAUGUCUUCGGAUGGAUUUGAGUAAGAGCAUAGCUGUUGGGACCCGAAAGAUGGUGAACUAUGCCUGAAUAGGGUGAAGCCAGAGGAAACUCUGGUGGAGGCUCGCAGCGGUUCUGACGUGCAAAUCGAUCGUCAAAUUUGGGUAUAGGGGCGAAAGACUAAUCGAACCAU
This 841-nucleotide ribosomal RNA is filed under the name Baudoinia panamericana. RNAcentral's name for it is "eukaryotic LSU rRNA". It matches the Rfam family "Eukaryotic large subunit ribosomal RNA", at positions 60 to 943 of the family's 3401-position model. The record is from RNAcentral. Lineage: Eukaryota; Fungi; Ascomycota; Dothideomycetes; Mycosphaerellales; Teratosphaeriaceae.